Molecule: long non-coding RNA, 882 nt
Filed under: Amborella trichopoda
Lineage: Eukaryota; Viridiplantae; Streptophyta; Magnoliopsida; Amborellales; Amborellaceae
Description: long non-coding RNA (ATRI_LNC000460)
Source: RNAcentral
UUGCACAUUAGUGGCGCCUUUUGUAUCGAGACCUACCUCUUCAUAUUCUUCUUCUUCUUGUUUCGACUGUAAUCCAUGAAAGAAAUCUCGUAAAACUUGUUCUACUACUUUGCUAAUGCGCUCUACUAGGUCUUCUUUGAGUCUCUCAAAUCUUUGAUCCAAUCGCUGCAACCAUUGAUUCAUGUCACGAACUUUGCUUCAAAUAUCUUCUAAGAUCUCAAGGCUCUCCAUAUCAUCACGGAUCUUAGGGCUCUGACAUCAGUUGAUGCAAGUAGAAAAUAAUUAAAGUAAAAACAAUAAAAAAGGUAAAAGAAUUCACCCUCUCUCAAGGUCUAUAUGAGAAUCCACCCCAAAACAAUCUUUUCACAAGAGGUCUGCAAGGGAAUUCAGCCCAAAACGAUCUUUUUAUAAGAUCAACUUUACUCAAUCCAGAUCUUUUCACAAGAACAACUUUUCUCAAUUAUCAUUCUCGGAUCAUUCUAUCAUUUGUUUAUAAUGAAGAGACAUCUCCCUCUAAAUAGACUUUGAGGAAAAUAAAUAAUUAAAUAGAUAAAAGGACUGCAAAAAAUAAUUCUCUUUCUCUCUUCCAUGUUUUUCCUCUCCUUUCCUAUUUUCUCUCUUUCCUCAAGUGUCUCUAUACCCAUCACGUGGAGUCCUUUAUUCAAGGAAACUUCCCCAUCUUUAGGUACUCCUCAUAUCCUUUCCAUAUCUAAAUCUCAUAUCUUUCUCAUACUUAAAUCCCUCUUAAAUCUCUUAUUAAAUCUAAUAUAAGCUUAAAUAUCUUAUUAAAUCUAAUAUAAGCUUAAAAAAAACUAACUCACACGAAGAUUUACCUUUCCUAAAACCUCACACUACCCAUUCCUAAAAAUAUAAAUUUUAAAA